The sequence is a regulatory RNA element, 116 nucleotides long. It matches the Rfam family "PyrR binding site". From Rfam's summary of the family: This family represents the PyrR binding site and terminator structure. This RNA structure is found upstream of a variety of genes involved in pyrimidine biosynthesis and transport. The record is from Rfam.
AAUUCCUUUAAUUAAGUUCUGUGAAACUUCAAGGAGUUGCUCAAUUGUUUAUUAUUCACGUUUAAGACUGAUAAAUAAGUGAAGGACUUCGUAUGUUUUACGGAGUCCUUUUUUAU